This 702-nucleotide ribosomal RNA is filed under the name uncultured bacterium. RNAcentral's name for it is "bacterial SSU rRNA". It matches the Rfam family "Bacterial small subunit ribosomal RNA", at positions 180 to 883 of the family's 1533-position model. The record is from RNAcentral.
UUCUAGAAGACAUCUGAAGGAGAUUAAAGAUUUAUCGGUGAUGGAUGGGGAUGCGUCUGAUUAGCUUGUUGGCGGGGUAACGGCCCACCAAGGCGACGAUCAGUAGGGGUUCUGAGAGGAAGGUCCCCCACAUUGGAACUGAGACACGGUCCAAACUCCUACGGGAGGCAGCAGUGAGGAAUAUUGGUCAAUGGGCGAGAGCCUGAACCAGCCAAGUAGCGUGCAGGAUGACGGCCCUAUGGGUUGUAAACUGCUUUUAUAAGGGAAUAAAGUUAGUCUCGUGAGACUUUUUGCAUGUACCUUAUGAAUAAGGACCGGCUAAUUCCGUGCCAGCAGCCGCGGUAAUACGGAAGGUCCGGGCGUUAUCCGGAUUUAUUGGGUUUAAAGGGAGCGUAGGCCGGAGAUUAAGCGUGUUGUGAAAUGUAGACGCUCAACGUCUGCACUGCAGCGCGAACUGGUUUCCUUGAGUACGCACAAAGUGGGCGGAAUUCGUGGUGUAGCGGUGAAAUGCUUAGAUAUCACGAAGAACUCCGAUUGCGAAGGCAGCUCACUGGAGCGCAACUGACGCUGAAGCUCGAAAGUGCGGGUAUCGAACAGGAUUAGAUACCCUGGUAGUCCGCACGGUAAACGAUGGAUGCCCGCUGUUGGUCUGAAUAGGUCAGCGGCCAAGCGAAAGCAUUAAGCAUCCCACCUGGGGAGUAC